AAACCGAGGUGGCAAGCGUUGUUCGGAAUUAUUGGGCGUAAAGAGCACGUAGGUGGAUUUGUUAGUCAGAUGUGAAAGCCUUUUGUUCAACGGAAGAAUUGCAUCUGAAACUACAAACCUUGAGUAUAGGAGGGGAGAGUGGAACUUCUGGUGGAGCGGUGAAAUGCGUAGAUAUCAGAAGGAACGCCGGCGGCGAAAGCGACUCUCUGGCCUAUAACUGACACUGAGUGUGCGAAAGCUAGGGGAGCAAACGGGAUUAGAUACCCCAGUAGUCC
This 275-nucleotide ribosomal RNA is filed under the name uncultured bacterium. RNAcentral describes it as "partial 16S ribosomal RNA". It matches the Rfam family "Bacterial small subunit ribosomal RNA", at positions 523 to 796 of the family's 1533-position model. The record is from RNAcentral.